Molecule: ribosomal RNA, 253 nt
Filed under: uncultured bacterium
Lineage: Bacteria
Description: partial 16S ribosomal RNA
Rfam family: Bacterial small subunit ribosomal RNA
Source: RNAcentral
UACGUAGGGCGCAAGCGUUGUCCGGAAUUAUUGGGCGUAAAGAGCUCGUAGGCGGUUCGUCGCGUCGGCUGUGAAAACCUGAGGCUCAACCUCAGGCCUGCAGUCGAUACGGGCGGACUUGAGUACUGCAGGGGAGACUGGAAUUCCUGGUGUAGCGGUGGAAUGCGCAGAUAUCAGGAGGAACACCGGUGGCGAAGGCGGGUCUCUGGGCCGUUACUGACGCUGAGGAGCGAAAGCGUGGGGAGCGAACAGG